GUAACAUAGACCUAAAAAAUCUAUAAAACAACUUUUAACAACGGAUCUCUUGGUUCUCGCAUCGAUGAAGAACGUAGCAAAGUGCGAUAACUAGUGUGAAUUGCAUAUUCAGUGAAUCAUCGAGUCUUUGAACGCAACUUGCGCUCAUUGGUAUUC
RNAcentral lists this ribosomal RNA (156 nucleotides) under Mucor racemosus. RNAcentral describes it as "5.8S ribosomal RNA". The stretch from base 30 to 156 matches the Rfam family "5.8S ribosomal RNA", at positions 1 to 128 of the family's 154-position model. Rfam says of the family: 5.8S ribosomal RNA (5.8S rRNA) is a component of the large subunit of the eukaryotic ribosome. Lineage: Eukaryota; Fungi; Mucoromycota; Mucoromycetes; Mucorales; Mucoraceae. The record is from RNAcentral.